UGGCGGACGGGUGAGUAAUGUCUGGGAAACUGCCUGAUGGAGGGGGAUAACUACUGGAAACGGUAGCUAAUACCGCAUAACGUCGCAAGACCAAAGAGGGGGACCUUCGGGCCUCUUGCCAUCGGAUGUGCCCAGAUGGGAUUAGCUAGUAGGUGGGGUAACGGCUCACCUAGGCGACGAUCCCUAGCUGGUCUGAGAGGAUGACCAGCUACACUGGAACUGAGACACGGUCCAG
RNAcentral lists this ribosomal RNA (235 nucleotides) under uncultured bacterium. Its description in RNAcentral is "partial 16S ribosomal RNA". It matches the Rfam family "Bacterial small subunit ribosomal RNA", at positions 96 to 334 of the family's 1533-position model. The record is from RNAcentral.